CCUACGGGUGGCAGCAGUGAGGAAUAUUGGUCAAUGGGCGAAAGCCUGAACCAGCCAAGUCGCGUGAAGGAUGACGGCCCUACGGGUUGUAAACCGCUUUUGUAGGGGAGUAACGCGCCUUACGUGUCGCGCUUUGCGUGUACCCGAUGAAUAAGGACCGGCUAAUUCCGUGCCAGCAGCCGCGGUAAUACGGAAGGUCCGGGCGUUAUCCGGAUUUAUUGGGUUUAAAGGGUGCGCAGGCCGCUUGUUAAGCGUGCUGGGAAAGGUCGGGGCGUAACCCCGGCCCUGCAGUGGAAACUGGCGGGCUUGAGUGGGAGAGAAGUAGGCGGAAUGCGUGGUGUAGCGGUGAAAUGCGUAGAUAUGACGAAGAACCCCGAUUGCGAAGGCAGCAUGCUGGAGCGGAACUGACGCUGAGGCACGAAAGCGUGGGUAUCGAACAGGAUUAGAUACCCUUGUAGUC
This 460-nucleotide ribosomal RNA is filed under the name uncultured bacterium. Its description in RNAcentral is "partial 16S ribosomal RNA". It matches the Rfam family "Bacterial small subunit ribosomal RNA", at positions 338 to 795 of the family's 1533-position model. The record is from RNAcentral.